AUGCCACGGCGGCGGCGGUCGGCCCUCCUACACCAACAACAGGGGCCGGCGCAAUGGCAGCUCCUCCAACAGCAGGUCUCGCCCCGACACAAUCAGAUGCCAAAUCUGUGGGAAGCCGGGCACUCUGCCAAGGACUGCUGGUACCGCUUUGAUGAGGACGAUGAUGAUUCUUCUCAAGAUGAAAAAGUGGUCGGAGCUGCUGAUGGCUCCUAUGGUGUCGACACAAAUUGGUACGUUGACAGCGGUGCCACAAACCACAUCACCGGCGAGCUUGACAAGGUGACUAUGCGAGAGAAGUACCGUGGCAAAGAUCACAUCCACACCGCCAGUGGAGAAGGCAACGAAGAAGGUGCUAUAUCGAGGUAG
Molecule: ribosomal RNA, 366 nt
Filed under: Triticum aestivum (bread wheat)
Lineage: Eukaryota; Viridiplantae; Streptophyta; Magnoliopsida; Poales; Poaceae
Description: partial small subunit ribosomal RNA
Source: RNAcentral